CGGGAGACCUCGGCCCACUCUCCGGGUCGGGAAGUUCCGAGGGUUGCACUAAAAUGGGAAGAACCUGCCCGGGCAGGCAGAGGAAGGAGAAUUCCUGGCAGAGGAUCGAACUUGGGACCUUGCACUUGCGCAGUAGGCGGCGAAACCACUGAGCUAAAUCCCCAGCCUGCAAAUGGACUCCUUAUCCAACCUCAGCCCUGUUGGGAAAUGCGGCUUCCUGUUCUGAUGCAGAACGUCAAAGUGUGUGUUUUAUUGUGUUCAAGGAUAUACAACAUGCAGUUUGCUAUUUUAUCAAGGCGGUUUUAAAAUAUGCUCAAUAAUGUAUUUUGAUUUCUUAAAAAGUUAAAUGUUGGGAAAUAGUAAAACUCUCAUGAUGCA
Molecule: non-coding RNA, 378 nt
Organism: Heterocephalus glaber (naked mole-rat)
Lineage: Eukaryota; Metazoa; Chordata; Mammalia; Rodentia; Bathyergidae
Source: RefSeq, a predicted model, not a curated record